UACGAAGGGGGCUAGCGUUGCUCGGAAUCACUGGGCGUAAAGGGUGCGUAGGCGGGUCUUUAAGUCAGGGGUGAAAUCCUGGAGCUCAACUCCAGAACUGCCUUUGAUACUGAAGAUCUUGAGUUCGGGAGAGGUGAGUGGAACUGCGAGUGUAGAGGUGAAAUUCGUAGAUAUUCGCAAGAACACCAGUGGCGAAGGCGGCUCACUGGCCCGAUACUGACGCUGAGGCACGAAAGCGUGGGAGCAACAGGGAU
Molecule: ribosomal RNA, 254 nt
Filed under: uncultured bacterium
Lineage: Bacteria
Description: partial 16S ribosomal RNA
Rfam family: Bacterial small subunit ribosomal RNA
Source: RNAcentral